This 1417-nucleotide unclassified non-coding RNA is filed under the name Hevea brasiliensis (rubber tree). Lineage: Eukaryota; Viridiplantae; Streptophyta; Magnoliopsida; Malpighiales; Euphorbiaceae. The record is from RNAcentral.
AAAAGGGGAAGAAAAUUUUCAUAUGUAGACCGUGUUGACAUAUUAUAGAUCCUUAGUAAACGUUAAUGUGUCCCUAUUCCCGGUCUUGGAAAAAAAUGAAUCACGCUAUACGCUAUUGCUUAAGCUUAGAAAUUCCAGAGAACGUUCAGUUUCUUCAACACAGUUGACUUGAUGAAGAAGAUUUUGAAUCCGAUCAACCCAUCUUUGCUUAUGGAUCUUGCUCUUGCACUUGAACUCUAGAAGACCCUGCGCAGUUUUAAGGCCAAAAUAUACUUCUUCAGAAUUUUCCCUUUCUUUUCUAUAUGGCCAUGCUGUAGUCUCAUCGCAGACCCCAUAAACAACGCAUUUGUGCUUCUUGGAGAAGGCUCCUCCAACGUGUUUGCUUUUGAUCUUAAUUAUGACCUGUAAUUUCUUGUUGAUGUAGACCGAAAUGUGUUUCCAUCGCAACACUCCUUUUCUUGUGUGUUGCAAUACUUCACCGACGCAGGGAGCCAGUUCUUCUACUUCACCAAUGUUAGCAGAACCCCAAUGAGUUUCUGCCAUUCCUCUCUCGUAAGGACUUAUAGAUGCAUUUUUUCUUGCUUCUUUCGGCAACCUUGCUUUUAGUGCUGCUUCUCCCCUCAAAGCUGUUGCAGCUGCUGCAGUAAGGGUCAUUAGAUCACCUGGACUCUGAAUGUCUACAGCUGAUCUCACAACAGAAGCCACACGAUCAUGAUCCGCUCCGGCUGAUUCUGCUAAUUCUAUGCAAUGUGAUGCCAAGAGUUCUGUAGCUGAGGCCAAAGCCAUACUCAUUUUAGAUCCAGAGUCACUAGAGUUUCCUUCGGCUGCCACAGCAGCCAAGGCUGCAGCUAGUCCAGCAACUGAUAUAGCAGAAUGCAUACGCGCAUUUUCCAUGCGUGCCUUAUCUUUCUUCUUCACUGUGCUGCUGCUAAGCUCCUUGUGGUGGAACCACUUUCCUAUUGCUCCUGUCUUUCUUGAAUUUAACGAAUUUAUUAUCUUCCUUGUUAACUGUGGUGCUGCAACUGUAUCUGCUGGGAACAUACUGGGUUGGUUGUCAGUGAAAAAUUGUCUCUGUUUCUGAGCCAGAGCUUUUGAAAUUUCUGAAGCGGAAAGACUCCAAGAUCUAGAUAAGAACUCCAUAGGCUCUUUUGGGGUUUGUGGUUGAGGGAUUGCUGGAAGCGAUACCACCGGUUUCAGCUGUUGGUCUUCCUCCAAAAAAUCCAGCAAAGAACCAUGCUUCCAACCAGAAUAAAACCCACUAUUCAUUGCUUCAAUUUGUAUCCCAAUAUUACAAUCGAAUCAGGAACUCUCUCUUCCUUGGGCUAUUUCUUGUAUGAUCAAUCGAUCUAUCGCAUCAAAACUUCAGUGACUACAGUGAUUCCUUUCAAUCUCAAAGGUUCCAUGCCCACUAAACAUA